AUCUCUGUGGCACAAUUGGUCAGCGCAUUCAGCUGUUAACCGGAAGGCUGGUGGUUCAAGCCCACCCAGGGACA
This 74-nucleotide transfer RNA is filed under the name Melopsittacus undulatus (budgerigar). RNAcentral's name for it is "tRNA-Asn (GTT) (tRNA-Asn-GTT-4-1)". It matches the Rfam family "tRNA". Rfam says of the family: Transfer RNA (tRNA) molecules are approximately 80 nucleotides in length. Their secondary structure includes four short double-helical elements and three loops (D, anti-codon, and T loops). The record is from Rfam by way of RNAcentral. Lineage: Eukaryota; Metazoa; Chordata; Aves; Psittaciformes; Psittaculidae.